RNAcentral lists this ribosomal RNA (445 nucleotides) under uncultured bacterium. Its description in RNAcentral is "partial 16S ribosomal RNA". It matches the Rfam family "Bacterial small subunit ribosomal RNA", at positions 354 to 796 of the family's 1533-position model. The record is from RNAcentral.
GUGAGGAAUAUUGCGCAAUGGAGGCAACUCUGACGCAGCCAUGCCGCGUGCAGGAAGAAGGCGCUACGCGUUGUAAACUGCUUUUAACCGGGAAGAAACCCCAGGACGUGUCCUGGGUUGACGGUACCGGAGGAAUAAGCACCGGCUAACUUCGUGCCAGCAGCCGCGGUAAUACGAAGGGUGCAAGCGUUAUCCGGAUUCAUUGGGUUUAAAGGGUGCGUAGGCGGAGCGUUAAGUCAGUGGUGAAAUCCUGCAGCUUAACUGUAGACUUGCCAUUGAUACUGGUGCUCUUGAGUGCGCUUGAAGUGGGCGGAAUGUGCCGUGUAGCGGUGAAAUGCUUAGAUAUGGCACAGAACACCAAUUGCGAAGGCAGCUCACUAAGGCGAUACUGACGCUGAGGCACGAAAGCGUGGGGAUCGAACAGGAUUAGAUACCCCAGUAGUCC